Molecule: unclassified non-coding RNA, 183 nt
Filed under: fungal sp.
Lineage: Eukaryota; Fungi
Description: partial internal transcribed spacer region
Rfam family: Eukaryotic small subunit ribosomal RNA (bases 1-46)
Source: RNAcentral
AAGUCGUAACAAGGUUUCCGUAGGUGAACCUGCGGAAGGAUCAUUAACGAAGAAUUGGGCGCGUUCGCGCGCCCUUCUCGUCCCCACCCUGUGCACCGAGACCUUUUUUUCGCGCCUAGUGAAGUCGAGGAUGACCACGAAUUUAAAAUGGCACAAAAUGAAGCAACGGAUCUCUUGGCUCUC